GGCCUUCGGGUCCGCAUUGUAAUUUGUAGAGGAUGCUUUGGGUGAAACGCCAGUCUAAGUUCCUUGGAACAGGACGUCAUAGAGGGUGAGAAUCCCGUAUGUGACUGGAAAUGUUAACCUAUGUAAAGCUCCUUCGACGAGUCGAGUUGUUUGGGAAUGCAGCUCUAAAUGGGAGGUAAAUUUCUUCUAAAGCUAAAUAUUGGCGAGAGACCGAUAGCGCACAAGUAGAGUGAUCGAAAGAUGAAAAGCACUUUGGAAAGAGAGUUAAAAAGCACGUGAAAUUGUUGAAAGGGAAGCGCUUGCAAUCAGACUUGUUUAAACUGUUCGGCCGGUCUUCUGACCGGUUUACUCAGUUUGGACAGGCCAGCAUCAGUUUCGGCGGCCGGAUAAAGGCUCUGGGAAUGUGGCCUUCACUUCGGUGAAG
This 424-nucleotide ribosomal RNA is filed under the name Aureobasidium pullulans. RNAcentral describes it as "eukaryotic LSU rRNA". It matches the Rfam family "Eukaryotic large subunit ribosomal RNA", at positions 124 to 556 of the family's 3401-position model. Lineage: Eukaryota; Fungi; Ascomycota; Dothideomycetes; Dothideales; Saccotheciaceae. The record is from RNAcentral.